UCUUGAGGAUGACAAGAUUCCAGAGUCAA
RNAcentral lists this non-coding RNA (29 nucleotides) under Mus musculus (house mouse). Lineage: Eukaryota; Metazoa; Chordata; Mammalia; Rodentia; Muridae. The record is from RNAcentral.